Molecule: long non-coding RNA, 316 nt
Filed under: Elaeis guineensis (African oil palm)
Lineage: Eukaryota; Viridiplantae; Streptophyta; Magnoliopsida; Arecales; Arecaceae
Description: long non-coding RNA (EGUI_LNC014958)
Source: RNAcentral
GGCGUAGGUGAGGCAGGGCCGGGGUCGCUGGCUUUGGACCGCGGCGUAGGAGGUGCCGACAGGAUCGGGGCAGCUGCGGGCGAGGUGAGGCCAGGACGGCUGGCUCAGGGCCACGUCGUAGGAGGUGUCAGUGGGUCGGGGUGGCCAUGGGUGAGGCAAGGCCAGUGCGGCGGGCUCAGGGUCAUGGCGUAGGAGGUGCUAGCGAGGUUAGGACAUCGGGAAGGAGGAUGCAUAGAGAGUGGAGAACAUCGGAAAGGAUGCAUCGGGGAGGGGGGUCAUUGUCGGUCAGGAGGAGGAGAGGAAAUUCAUGGGAAGG